Molecule: ribosomal RNA, 757 nt
Filed under: bacterium LFM17
Lineage: Bacteria
Description: bacterial SSU rRNA
Rfam family: Bacterial small subunit ribosomal RNA
Source: RNAcentral
GACGAACCCUUCGGGGUGAGUGGCGGACGGGUGCGUAACGCGUGGGAAACUGCCCUGGGGUGCGGAACAACAGUUAGAAAUGACUGCUAAUACCGCAUAAUGACUUCGGUCCAAAGAUUUAUCGCCCUUGGAUGUGCCCGCGUUGGAUUAGCUUGUUGGUGGGGUAAAGGCCUACCAAGGCGACGAUCCAUAGCUGGUCUGAGAGGAUGAUCAGCCACACUGGGACUGAGACACGGCCCAGACUCCUACGGGAGGCAGCAGUGGGGAAUAUUGGACAAUGGGCGAAAGCCUGAUCCAGCAAUGCCGCGUGAGUGAUGAAGGCCUUAGGGUUGUAAAGCUCUUUUACCAGGGAUGAUAAUGACAGUACCUGGAGAAUAAGCUCCGGCUAACUCCGUGCCAGCAGCCGCGGUAAUACGGAGGGAGCUAGCGUUGUUCGGAAUUACUGGGCGUAAAGCGCGCGUAGGCGGCUUUCCAAGUCAGAGGUGAAAUCCCGGGGCUCAACCCCGGAACUGCCUUUGAAACUGGAUCGCUAGAGUCUUGGAGAGGUGAGUGGAAUUCCGAGUGUAGAGGUGGAAUUCGUAGAUAUUCGGAAGAACACCAGUGGCGAAGGCGACUCACUGGACAAGUACUGACGCUGAGGUGCGAAAGCAUGGGGAGCAAACAGGAUUAGAUACCCUGGUAGUCCAUGCCGUAAACGAUGAGAACUAGCUGUCGGGGCCCAUAGGGUUUCGGUGGCGCAGCUAACGCAUUAAGUUCU